This 324-nucleotide long non-coding RNA is filed under the name Brassica rapa (field mustard). RNAcentral's name for it is "long non-coding RNA (BRAP_LNC006773)". Lineage: Eukaryota; Viridiplantae; Streptophyta; Magnoliopsida; Brassicales; Brassicaceae. The record is from RNAcentral.
CUCUUAAGAGAAUCCUUAGAGGGUGUGGAGCCCACUUUUUUAGAGUUUGUGCAAAAAAGAAUCCUUAAAAUCCUUUGAUAAGGAUUGAUCCUUACACUGUUCACGGGUCCCAUUGACUACGUGGCGGCCCGUGAAUGGUCAUCUUUUUUUUUUAAAUCUAAAAUAUCCAAGAUUAAUCCGAAAUGCCCUUGUGCUAAGGACUCCAAUGAGUCUCACCAUUGCGGAUGGUCUUAGAAGUCUUCUGGGAAGUCUUCUCGAAAUACUUAAAUUUAAAGCGGGAAAUUGAAAUAUAAGCGGAAAAUUUAAGUGGAAAAUUAAAAUUUA